AACCUUAAACAGAGAAACAGUCGUUCCAUUCUUCCCUCACCAGAACAUGUGUCAUUUCUCUGUAAAAGCCAAAAUUUUCAUGGCCAAUGUUUAAAUCCGAAAACCAAAACGAAAUCCUAACCCAAUGUCCUUCCCACACUCAUCUUCCAUUCUCAGUUUUCUAACAAAUCCUUACUCGUUUUUUUUCUUUCCAAAAAAAUCCCCUGUUUGAAAUCAUUAAAAUCUCAGUUUUGUAACCACAAUAUCAGUUCCGAAAAUCAAACCAGGCCAAUUCCAAAGAUCAACAAAUCAGUUCAAAAGUGGAAGGGAGAAAGAAAACAGAAGCGACCGAGCUACUAUACAAGAAGCUAUUUUGACGUGAGCUUCCGCUUGGACAGGUUCCCUUUUGAUGCCACUUCAUGCUUAUUUGCUAAGGAUUGUCAAAUGAAACAGAAAAUGGAGUCUGAAAUGCACAAGAUUCAGGGGAUGGAGGCAAUCUGUGGUUUACAUUUGGGCAAUCUGUGGUUUACAUUUGGGCUUGAGAACUUGUUCCAUUUAAAUUCAACAUUUGUAAACACACUUGUAAUUCACUUUCGUUUGUGUAACGUUAGGAUAGUGUAGACUUCAUAAAGGAACUUGCAAAUUGUAAUUUGAAACACAAUUUUUAGUUUGCAUUUUAAGCUUCAA
Long non-coding RNA from Lathyrus oleraceus (garden pea), 666 nucleotides. RefSeq lists it as uncharacterized. Lineage: Eukaryota; Viridiplantae; Streptophyta; Magnoliopsida; Fabales; Fabaceae. The transcript has 2 exons. The record is from RefSeq and is a predicted model, not a curated record.